This 460-nucleotide ribosomal RNA is filed under the name uncultured bacterium. RNAcentral describes it as "partial 16S ribosomal RNA". It matches the Rfam family "Bacterial small subunit ribosomal RNA", at positions 338 to 795 of the family's 1533-position model. The record is from RNAcentral.
CCUACGGGAGGCAGCAGUGAGGAAUAUUGGUCAAUGGCCGGAAGGCUGAACCAGCCAUGCCGCGUGAAGGUCAGUGCCCUAUGGGCGUUACACUUCUUUUGUGCGGGAGCAAUAAUGGUCACGUGUGGCCAGACGAGAGUACCGUAAGAAUAAGCAUCGGCUAACUCCGUGACAGCAGCCGCGGUCAUAAGGGGGAUGCAAGCGUUAUCCGGAUUUAUUGGGUUUAAAGGGUGCGUAGGCUGGUAGGUAAGUCAGCGGUGAAAUGCCCCCGCUCAACGGGGUGAAGUGCCAUUGAUACUGCCGUGCUGGAAUGCGGAUGCCGUGGGAGGAAUGUGGGGUGUAGCGGUGAAAUGCAUAGAUAUCACACAGAACACCGAUUGCGAAGGCAUCUCACGAAGCCGCGAUUGACGCUGAUGCACGAAAGCGUGGAUAUCAAACAGGAUUAGAUACCCGAGUAGUC